UAAGUCCCUCUAUCCCCAA
RNAcentral lists this transfer RNA (19 nucleotides) under Polyalthia obliqua. Its description in RNAcentral is "partial tRNA-Leu". Lineage: Eukaryota; Viridiplantae; Streptophyta; Magnoliopsida; Magnoliales; Annonaceae. The record is from RNAcentral.